GUGGGGAAUAUUGGACAAUGGGCGAAAGCCUGAUCCAGCCAUGCCGCGUGUGUGAAGAAGGCCUUCGGGUUGUAAAGCACUUUAAGCGAGGAGGAAGGUUCGUCACCUAAUACGUGACGGAAUUGACGUUACUCGCAGAAUAAGCACCGGCUAACUCUGUGCCAGCAGCCGCGGUAAUACAGAGGGUGCAAGCGUUAAUCGGAAUUACUGGGCGUAAAGCGCGCGUAGGCGGUUGUGUAAGUUGGAUGUGAAAUCCCCGGGCUUAACCUGGGCACUGCAUUCAAAACUGCACGGCUAGAGUAUUGGAGAGGAAGGUAGAAUUCCAGGUGUAGCGGUGAAAUGCGUAGAGAUCUGGAGGAAUACCGAUGGCGAAGGCAGCCUUCUGGCCAAAUACUGACGCUGAGGUGCGAAAGCAUGGGGAGCAAACAGGAUUAGAAACCCGUGUAGUCC
Molecule: ribosomal RNA, 450 nt
Filed under: uncultured bacterium
Lineage: Bacteria
Description: partial 16S ribosomal RNA
Rfam family: Bacterial small subunit ribosomal RNA
Source: RNAcentral